RNAcentral lists this transfer RNA (88 nucleotides) under bacterium. RNAcentral describes it as "tRNA-Leu". It matches the Rfam family "tRNA". From Rfam's summary of the family: Transfer RNA (tRNA) molecules are approximately 80 nucleotides in length. The record is from RNAcentral. RNAcentral also lists the same sequence under 2 other names.
GCCGAAGUGGUGGAAUUGGCAGACACGCAUGCCUUAGGAGCAUGUAGGGGAAUACCCUGUGCAGGUUCAACUCCUGUCUUCGGCACCA